This 253-nucleotide ribosomal RNA is filed under the name uncultured bacterium. RNAcentral's name for it is "partial 16S ribosomal RNA". It matches the Rfam family "Bacterial small subunit ribosomal RNA", at positions 524 to 776 of the family's 1533-position model. The record is from RNAcentral.
UACGAAGGGGGCUAGCGUUGUUCGGAAUUACUGGGCGUAAAGCGCACGUAGGCGGAUAUUUAAGUCAGGGGUGAAAUCCCAGAGCUCAACUCUGGAACUGCCUUUGAUACUGGGUAUCUCGAGUAUGGAAGAGGUGAGUGGAAUUCCGAGUGUAGAGGUGAAAUUCGUAGAUAUUCGGAGGAACACCAGUGGCGAAGGCGGCUCACUGGUCCAUUACUGACGCCGAGGUGCGAAAGCGUGGGGAGCAAACAGG